RNAcentral lists this long non-coding RNA (237 nucleotides) under Gossypium barbadense (sea-island cotton). RNAcentral's name for it is "long non-coding RNA (GBAR_LNC013676)". The record is from RNAcentral. Lineage: Eukaryota; Viridiplantae; Streptophyta; Magnoliopsida; Malvales; Malvaceae.
UUCAAACAGCACCGUUUCAAUAAUCAAUAUAAAUCUAAAAAAUAAACCCUAAACAAGGUUCAUUCAGUCAUUAAAAAAAAGAAACAAGAAGAAAAUAAACCUUAAACGACGCCCCUUUCAUCUCCGCCGCCUUGAAGGCCAAAACUCUCUUCUCUCUCAUUUUGAUUCAGACAGAGUAGAGGAUGACUCCCAUGGCAUGCAGAGGUAAGAUUCUUCUUCGCUUUUCUAUUUUAUUUC